This 279-nucleotide ribosomal RNA is filed under the name uncultured bacterium. RNAcentral describes it as "partial 16S ribosomal RNA". It matches the Rfam family "Bacterial small subunit ribosomal RNA", at positions 506 to 784 of the family's 1533-position model. The record is from RNAcentral.
UGCCAGCCGCCGCGGUAAUACGGAGGGUGCAAGCGUUGUUCGGAAUUAUUGGGCGUAGAGCGCGUGUAGGCGGUUCGUUAAGUCUGAUGUGAAAGCCCGGGGCUCAACCCCGGAAGUGCAUUGGAAACUGGCGAACUUGAGUACGGGAGAGGAAAGUGGAAUUCCGAGUGUAGGGGUGAAAUCCGUAGAUAUUCUGAGGAAUACCGGUGGCGAAGGCGGCCUCCUGGAUUGAUACUGACACUGAGGUGCGAAAGCGUGGGGAGCAAACAGGAUUAGAUA